AUUCCCCUGUACGCGGACAGAGUCUCCCCAGUACGUCCAAGGCGUCGCAAUCCAAACAAUCAACGAAUGUUCCAACAAGGAACGGAUAUCAAUCCAGAUUGCAUAAGGAAGUAUCAAAUACAUAAUCUACUUGCUAUUACAAGCAUUCAUUUUACAACCACUCUUUACAUCACAGUUUCAGUUUACAUUUUAACUUCCAAAUUACAAUCUCAUUAUUACAUCAGAGUUUACAAGUUUGAUACAUUUUCUUUUCUUGUCUUCUAGUCCCCCUAAGCUAGACUGUCUCAAGGUACUGCUAUCUCGGUCUCUGUGGUGGGGCGCUAUCUACUGAGCUACGCCCUCGCCUCGCGCCGCCGCGCCGCACACGAACGACCUGAAAACCCCAAAACAACGUGGGGUGAGAACCAACUCCAUGGUUCCCAGUGGGUACGGCCACCCAAGGGAAAAGCUCGACCGAUAGGUCCGAGGAGGCACUACAAUAUGUUAGUUCAACAAUAUACAACAGAUAUAUAUAUUCAAUUGAAAUACAUGCCAUGCCUCACGAUAUGCGAUAUGAAAAUCAUGCAACAACUAGUAGAUCAUUUGAAUUCUAUUUUUACUUGGCUACUUUAGCUCACAACUUUACUCUAAGGUUUCCAUUACCUUAGGAUCACAACACUAACCACUAGCUUCUAAGGUUUCUAUUUACCUUAGCUCAAGCCUCUAUCUCUAGCUCAUAAGGGUUCCUCUACCCUAUCAUAGCUAACCACCCGACUCGGCUUCGAGUCAAUCAUCUGCGGAUAGUCCGCGCACUGGCUGCUCAACAGCCUAGCGCACUCUCUCUGACCCAGCCUCCUAGCGGCGAAAUCGUCGCACACGCUGAACACGGCUCGAGUCGCAUGACUUGACCAUCGGUGGCAAUCGCGUUGCACUUACCCAGCGUGAGCUCGAGACAUGACAUACCGUCUGGCGGCGAACGGGUCGCACCACACCCAACAACGGUCAUGUCAGACUCAGACACCUGGAGGCACCCGCAUCGUACUUACUCAGUAUGGAUUCAGUCUGCUCCGGCGGUCUGAUCCUCAAAUGGCUUAACCAUCCGGCGGCGAAAUCGUCGCACAAACGCCACGAGAAUGGUUCAAGCCCCGGGCGGUGAUCUUCAUGUGAUCGCCCCCAAUCUACCCAUGGUACCAAGCUCGGCGGCGAAGUCGUCGCACGAACGCCCUAGCCUGUACCAGAGACAUCAUAAGUCCUGGGAUUCCGGAAUCCACUUACCACAGGUCGAGGGUUCAUAGCCAACCCUAUACUGUCGACCUAGCUCAUCCUAGUGGCUAUACCACUAUACUCAUCAACCUAGGUUCCAAUACUCUAGGUUCUAUAUCCACAUCACUUAACCUAGAUACACUUGCUAGGUUCUUGUCAUCUUUGUCUAGAUGUCCACUUCUAGGUUUACUAGUUCAACCUAGGUUUACUAACACUAGGUCAGAUGCCACACACCUAGAUUGUUCGACUCUAGGUUUACUAAUCAACCUAUGUUCUUUAACACUAGGUUAGAUGCCACUCGAUCUAUCUGACAACCUAGUUGUCUAAUCAACUCUAUUUACUCUAGAGUUAUCAUGUUACUUACUUAGCUCUCAUGAUGCUACUUUGCAUUCUCUACUUUAACUAGCAUUAUAUACAUGCUAUGCUCAUUAUGCUCUCUACUUAGCAUUUCCAUCUAUGCAUAAUUAGUACAUGCAUUCUUUACGUUAACUAGCAUUAAUUACUUAGCAUGCUUUCUAUUUAGCAUUUUCAUCUUAUAUUAAUCAUGCUCUCUACUUAACAUUUACUAGUAUGGCUCUAUGCAUCAUUAUUUAACAUGCAUUUACACUAUGCAUUAUUAUAAUCAUGCAUUCCAAUUACUUGCUUGCAUUAUUUAUUUAUCAUGCUCAUCAUGCAUUCUUUACUUUUCUUGCAUUUACUCUAUGCAUUGUUAUUAACAUGCAUUUACUUUACAUCAUGCAUUAUUGUUAACUUGCAUCCUUUACUUAGCCUUUACCUUAUGCAUAUUUAUUAAUGCAUCAUUUAGUCUUGUCUACAUGCACAUGCAUCAACGUGAGAUUACAUUGCUAAGAUAUAAAGGGCGACCUAGUCGCUUCGGUAAGCACAACCCACCUUGAUUCGCGUUCUGAUUGCUUGUCGACACUUACAAUCGGCCUCCCGCGGCACUCGGCACCCGUUUGGGCCCGAACUCUUGCGCGACUUAACGAACGACCUCCGAAUCGCGAUCCGUCUUUUCCAGUGCUUAUUCCUUGACUCCAAGAUCCUCCGGUUCCGAUCUCACGAUUUUUAGACACUUAUUCCGCGUGCUGCAGCUAUCUGUACCAAAACCGACCGUUUCGUCAAUAACUUCGCGUGCACUCGUCGGAUUGUCGAACCGAGCGUUUCAAUGCGUUCGUUAGGUCCCCAAUUAGGUUUCCAAGCGGUCAAAAUAGAUCAAAACCCCAUAUGAGCAAAACCCUUCUUUGGGAUGCCCUAAUACGACAUAUGCUCAAUACUCCGAUUUCGAUCUAUAAAACAAGCAAAAGAGAGCUUGUCCAAGUUCUUAGAGCUCAUUUAUGACCAUUAGAAUCGUUCAUAGGGUGUUUAGAACAAACCCUAGAAAUCCACCAUUAGAGCCUCAUGAAGAACACCAUGGAUUUCAUGUGUUUUAGACCUCUACAAAGUUCUAAAGCUUGUAGGUAGAUCAAAACCAAAGAUCUAGGGUUUAAAACCCAUUCUACAAAAAUCUACCAUGAGAGGCUUGGAAGCUUACCUCUCCUAGAGCUCCAAGGGGGAGAAGAAGAUGAAGAGGAUGAUGAUGGUGAUGAUCCUCUUCCUCUCCUCCAUCUUCUCCUUCUUUUCUUCUUUUCUUUUCUUCUUUUCUUUUCUUGUCUUCUCUUUUUCCUUCUCUUUUCUUGCAACCGGUUGAGAGAAAAGGAGAGACAUGAGAGAGAGAGAGAGAGGGAGAGAUCUGCUGUGAGGGAGAGGGGUUUAGGGUUAUUACAUUAGGUAACAAUUGCAAAUAAACCCCUCCAAUCAUUUAUAAUUGCAGCAGACUAAUUCUAUGCUAUUCUGCCAAAGUGUACCGGUACACUUUCCCGUGUCACCGGUUUAACAGCCUUUUUCACUCAAACCCGAGAGCUGCUAUUCUUCGGGUCGCUUGUUGUACCGGUACAACCAUCAACUUGUACCGGUGCACAAUGCUCCAGACUUGGUUUUUAGCUUGUUUUCGUCUCUAUUUCGCGCCGAACAACGCUAAAAUCUUUCUAAUUCUUUUAGAACUCAUCUUAACCCCUCCAACCUUGAUAGAAUGUUUACUGGAACUCGUCUAUUCAUCUUAUUCGCAUGCUUUAGCCAAUUUGGCUAAAGCUCGAUAUUUCUUCCGAAACCUCGGGGGUUACAUUCUCCCCACCUUAAAAGAAUUUCGUCCGCGAAAUUCAAACCACAUCAACUCGGCCUACCGAGUUGUUGAGGGUACCAUCAUACCUUUCCACUCCGAUUCCGACCACCGGCAUUGCAUAUCAACCAUAUCAUUGGUGCAUCGGCCAAUCGCGAGUGCUUCAAUCUCAAUCGAAUCUUUGCCCUAUCACGAGACGGCACACUUCGGCACGUCUCAACCUCACUCCCCUGAGAGCAUUAUCCACUUGUUUCCACUAACUUGAGCGUACCAACUCCGAUUCUCAUGUGGCUUUCAUUAACUUGAGGCCUUAUAAGAGCACUUCGGUUUCUCUUUAUCCUUUAAAAUCAUAAGCCACGAUCAACGCCACUCUACUCCGGCUGUGAAUUUGCACGAACCCUUCGUUCGCAACUCGAGCUUAGGCUCAUUCACGGGGUCAUCGGUCGCUGCGGGUAGACCAACAGUCACCCACCCUACGUAGGCCUACCGACUAAACUUGUCUCAACGACGCCUAGCGUCUCUCGCUCGCAAGCGUAGACCCAAUCAUCAUUGGGCGACAUUCUCAUUGGAGAACUCGCACACACUCCAACCAGGAGCUAUCAAGACCCCAAUCCAUAUCAAAUCCUUGGGUUGGGUCACUACACAAUCGGUGCAUCAUUAAUCUCACGAUCUAUCACAUGGCAUUCCACGUACUCGGGUCUAAGCUCAGACUACCGUCCUGACCAAAACUCUCCGCCCUACCAAUAGAUAUCGGGCCGCUGUCUCUCACAGCUGACUGCGCCUGCCCAAUGGGCCCAGGCUCCACAGUCCACAAAUGGUCCAGGCACGGGUCGUCCCCAAGCACUACCCGCCACACGGGCACAACUUGUCCACCUCAACUCGAGGUACUACUAGGCCCACAGGCCAAACUCGGCACUAACCGACCAAUUUCGCGACAGUGGUUCAUCUUCGCUGUUCGAUCUACCGAAUCCGCUUCCGAGAUACUUUUGGGGAUAUGCGGGCGUUCCCAAACAUCAAGGUCCGACUCUCAAAAUUUCUAACUCAUUGUUUUGAGAGUCCUUUCACCACUCGGUUUCCAUUGCGAGCCUCGUUUCCUGUCCAACAUCACCACAAGCCAUUUGCUAGUACCAUCGGCUCUCUACUUGCACCAGCAGGUGCCACUUCUCACAAUGCAAGCAUGUACGGGCGUCUACUUACCCGACUAUUCGGUCCCUACUAUGCAAUGUAUAAAUAGUAGCAACUGAUCAAUGACGAAUGCAUGCUAUGCACCAACUUGAGGCUAUGCAAAGUAUGAUUGCUCAAUUAACUCAUACCUGCCACGACGUCAUCAGCAACGGCAGGCACAACAGCUCGGGUCGCUUAUCCAUGGCCACUUGGCGCCCGUCGCGAACCCUCUGGUUGCAUCACUCUCAACGGCCGCUCCCCCGACCAUGCUGCAGGUGGCACACCCGCCGGCUAUCCCAAGGAGGAAUGGGCCGUCGCCAGUGUCAAGGCCAGGUUAUCACCCUGUGGACACUCGUCCCGCACAUGGCCCGGCAGCCCACACUUGAAGCACUUGCCCUCUCGCUGUUCACAUUGCUGUGGAAAAUGAGGGCCUCCACAAAUUGCACAUCUCGCCGAGGACCGAAUGUGAUACGUCCCCGGAGCUCUAGAUCGAGAGCGCGUCCUCACUGAGGUCUGUUGGGAACUUGACUGACCAUCGUGUCCACUCACUGGCCGUUCUUUCCCUUUUUCCUUGUAGUGUUCCUCACGCUUCUCCCGCAGGAAAGCAUUGCCUUGUUCUAUCCACAAGGCCCGAUCCAGGACUUCAGAAAAAGUCUGCUUCCCAAGUCAUUGGAGGGAGACUAGGCAGUCGAUCUCGCUUGACGCCUUUCCACCACACCUUCGCCGAUUGUUUCAGGUAAUGUGCGGCUAGGUUCACUUUGUCUCGCUCCAGCGUAUACAGAUCCUCGAAGAGUGUUUCCAUAGAAUCGAUCCACAUCUCAACGACCCACGGAUCUGCAUCUUCACCAUCAAAGGUAGGCGGAUCAAACUUCUUGAAAGUCAUGAGGGCGGCUAAAGCUCGCUCCCUCUCCACCGCAACCUCUGGGCAAACAGGAGUCGGAUCACCCGACCCCGACGAAAACAGCUCCGCCGCAACUCCCAGCUGUCCUCGACCAGCCGCAGCCGGUGCUGCCACCAGCCGGUCCACAGUCUCUUGGAGUCAUUCCAUUCACUCCUCUUGGCGCAUAGCAGCCUCCUGCUGCCGUUGCACCACAUCAGCUUGUUGCCGCAUCACUCCAAUGAGUGUGGCCAACUGAUCGCGAAGCUCCGAGUCUCCGCUCGCAUCGGUUUGCUCAGGGACGCCACUUGUCCCCUCCUGCGUCGAUCUGGACGAAGAUCGCCUACGCGGUGCCAUCGUUUCCUGAAACACGACAACUCGAUUAGUCCUCGACCCUCCGGGUCGAACACGAGACCACUAACACAGGCUCAAAAGCCAAUCAGGCGAAAGUAAAACAAGGACGUCUAUUCUCGUCACUCGGCUUUAUGUUGUGCGCGCCCAACAUAAACACACUUGGUCGAGAAUAAACCAUACCUUGAGUCUACCUCUAACAUCCGUCUUAGAGGUUAUGACACAACCCAAUCGAUUAACCUUUCGCCAAAAGAAAUAAGUCCUCGUCUCUUACGAACAUUAAUCUCCUAUGACUUGCUAUCCUAGGGUCUCCUAGGUCUGUCUAAACCAUUUUUCUUAUUUUCUACUUUAUACUCUGAUACCAUCUUAUCUGUCACGCCCCGCGACCAACCGCCUAUUGGACCGGGUCGCGGCACCGACGACAGACCGCCGAACGGACCGGGAAUUCCCCUGUAGGCGGACAGAGUCUCCCCAGUACGUCCAAGGCGUCGCAAUCCAAACAAUCAACGAAUGUUCCAACAAGGAACGGAUAUUAAUCCAGAUUGCAUAAGGAAGUAUCAAAUACAUAAUCUACUUGCUAUUAUAAGCAUUCAUUUUACAACCACUCUUUACAUCACAGUUUCAGUUUAUAUUUUAACUUCCAAAUUACAAUCUCAUUAUUACAUCAGAGUUUACAAGUUUGAUACAUUUUCUUUUCUUGUCUUCUAGUCCCCCUAAGCUAGACUGUCUCAAUGUACUGCUACCUCGGUCUCUAUGGUGGGCGCUAUCUACUGAGCUACGCCCUCGCCUCGUGCCGCCGCGCCGCACACGAACGACCUGAAAACACCCCAAAACC
RNAcentral lists this long non-coding RNA (6624 nucleotides) under Ananas comosus (pineapple). RNAcentral describes it as "long non-coding RNA (ACOM_LNC017879)". Lineage: Eukaryota; Viridiplantae; Streptophyta; Magnoliopsida; Poales; Bromeliaceae. The record is from RNAcentral.